Molecule: long non-coding RNA, 178 nt
Organism: Sphaerodactylus townsendi
Lineage: Eukaryota; Metazoa; Chordata; Lepidosauria; Squamata; Sphaerodactylidae
Exons: 4
Source: RefSeq, a predicted model, not a curated record
UCAGAUUCAGAAAAACCAGGGAUCUUUAAUGCCUCUGCAGUUACUCCAGUGCAUUGUUGAUGAGGAAUCGCCCGUCCUUCCGGUUGGGGAGUUCUCCGAGCCGUUUGUACACUUCAUCACUCAAUGCAUGAGAAAACAGCCCAAGGAACGGCCUGCUCCGGAAGAGUUAAUGGUGAGU